GAUGAACGCUGGCGGCGUGCCUAAUACAUGCAAGUCGAGCGAACGGACGAGAAGCUUGCUUCUCUGAUGUUAGCGGCGGACGGGUGAGUAACACGUGGAUAACCUACCUAUAAGACUGGGAUAACUUCGGGAAACCGGAGCUAAUACCGGAUGAUAUUUUGAACCGCAUGGUUCAAAAGUGAAAGACGGUCUUGCUGUCACUUAUAGAUGGAUCCGCGCUGCAUUAGCUAGUUGGUAAGGUAACGGCUUACCAAGGCAACGAUGCAUAGCCGACCUGAGAGGGUGAUCGGCCACACUGGAACUGAGACGCGGUCCAGACUCCUACGGGAGGCAGCAGUAGGGAAUCGUCCGCAAGGGGCGAAAGCCUGACGGAGCAACGCCGCGUGAGUGAUGAAGGUCUUCGGAUCGUAAAACUCUGUUAUUAGGGAAGAACAUAUGUGUAAGUAACUGUGCACAUCUUGACGGUACCUAAUCAGAAAGCCACGGCUAACUACG
This 495-nucleotide ribosomal RNA is filed under the name uncultured bacterium. Its description in RNAcentral is "partial 16S ribosomal RNA". It matches the Rfam family "Bacterial small subunit ribosomal RNA", at positions 28 to 505 of the family's 1533-position model. The record is from RNAcentral.